GGAGUUGUGGCUCAGUGGUAGAGUGCUUGCCUAGCACGUGGGAGGCCCUGGGUUCGAUCCUCAGCACCA
RNAcentral lists this transfer RNA (69 nucleotides) under Ictidomys tridecemlineatus (thirteen-lined ground squirrel). RNAcentral describes it as "Spermophilus tridecemlineatus (thirteen-lined ground squirrel) tRNA". It matches the Rfam family "tRNA". From Rfam's summary of the family: Transfer RNA (tRNA) molecules are approximately 80 nucleotides in length. Their secondary structure includes four short double-helical elements and three loops (D, anti-codon, and T loops). Further hydrogen bonds mediate the characteristic L-shaped molecular structure. tRNAs have two regions of fundamental functional importance: the anti-codon, which is responsible for specific mRNA codon recognition, and the 3' end, to which the tRNAs corresponding amino acid is attached (by aminoacyl-tRNA synthetases). tRNAs cope with the degeneracy of the genetic code in two manners: having more than one tRNA (with a specific anti-codon) for a particular amino acid; and 'wobble' base-pairing, i.e. permitting non-standard base-pairing at the 3rd anti-codon position. The record is from Rfam by way of RNAcentral. Lineage: Eukaryota; Metazoa; Chordata; Mammalia; Rodentia; Sciuridae.